GAAGAACUUAAUAAAAAAGUUACUAUCCCUUUCGACAACUUUUUUGUUAACUUUCGGGUAACGAUUCUUCGCCGUGUCUAACCUCCGAGAACAGAAAACAAAACUACUCCCCGGCGCAGUUUGUACGGUAAUGUUUUUUCUCUCCCAUAUCUUUUAUACAAAACCACCAGCAGUGUUUCUCAGCAUAUAUGAAAGUUCUGACGUUGUGAACAAGCGAACACAAGGCUGCAACCGCGAAAAGGCUGGACACACGGACUAGGGUGUUUUAUCGUUACUAUUCACAAGAAGAGCGAAAUUAUCUACGAGGACAAAGACGCGUCCGACUAAGGAACUGACAAAUGACAAGGACACAUUGGUGACCGGCACGAGAGUUCGAGCCGCCGACCGAAAGCGUAAGAAGGGAAAAAGACCUACUUUUGGCCAGUUUUCUCGCCCUCGCCUUGGAUCUCAUCUUGUCGGCUUGUAGAUUCCUCUCGUCCUCCGUGAGCCCAGAAGCAGCAACAACACUAUCUUCAUCUCACAAGCAUUGUCAGUUUGGACACCUUCGCACAUGCGCACAGGCCAUUCAAUCUGACACCCUCAUCAGGGCCAAAAAACUUUGCAAUGUAUUCAUCAUCACUUUUUGUCCUAUCGUCUCCCCUUUAGAUCACUUAUCUCUUCCCCUCCUCCCUCUCAGCACCAUCUCGGACCCCCUCCCCCCCUCCCCUCCCCCUACCACCGCCUUUGCCACCACCACCUUCUUGACUACCCCUUUAAGAGCAAUAACUUAUUUUUCGCAAACCUGUGGGAUCCGGACUAGCAAUGGAUACAGCAUGGUAUGUGAUGGGGUCAAGGUCGCAUCCCUCAACUGCAAGAUAGGCCUAACUCAGAAGAUGAUUAUUUACAAUUGAUGCAAUGGAUGUCUUAUCUGGCAUUGUGUUCAAAUGUAGGUUAAUCAAAUGCCAACUUUUUCCAGGGGUCAUUAUUGACUUCGCUUAUUCAGAUGCAUAAAGUUGCAUGUACGAUAGCUCUCCGUAUGAAAACAUAACGUUGCACACACAUGCUUUGCCUGCGAGCAAGCCACACGAAAACGGCAGCUGUUGACGCAUGCAGCAGCCUACUCUCAACAGACGAGACGACGAGUAGGCUACAGAACCGGGCUAGUUUUCAUUCAUUGUAUUUCUAUAGGAAGCAUGUAUAAGUAAGUUAAGGUUUUUCUACUUGAAAAUAUGCCUUAUUUCUGCACCCCUAUCAUCUCUGUGAACUAUGGUGCGAUGUAAUGAAUGCAAACAUCCCAUCGCCAUUUUUGGCACAAGGGCUCCAGGUAAAACCAGCGAGGAAGAGAAAUAGAUUGUGAAUUUCUAAUCACCCCAUCCGGGAUUCGAACCAACCCAGCUCCAACUCCUGCCACAGGAUCAAACACCUUAGCCGCUGGGUUACCUACUGCCAGGAGGAAGGAAGUGUGGGAUGGAGGAAGUGGUACUCACUAAGCAAGCAGCGAGACGUCCUUUACAGUGGUGCCAUGACCCGGAUCUACAUUGGUGCUCAGCUCAACGCUGGGUUUGCUGUUGAGGAAGUUUGAGGGGUGAAUGUAGCACAUGGGGAUGUGUGAAACUUACUCCACAGCCUGAAGUGUCUCACCUCAAUGGCAAGCUUUUUGAGGGAUCGGCUAAGAUGCUUGAGGAGAGCGGCCACAUGUGUUUGUGAGGCAGAGAUCCCGAGUUCGAGCCUGUUAAACAACAGUGAGACUGACUAACACAGAAGGCAGCACUGGACAGCCAUGCAGGCGAAGGAAUCAUCUUUUAUGCAGUGAUGGUGAAAUGGACAAACGCACACAUCAGCUGUUGCUUCAUUGAAUAAUAAAAUUGCCAUGCAAUCAUA
Oncorhynchus tshawytscha (Chinook salmon) is the source of this 1860-nucleotide long non-coding RNA. NCBI's taxonomy places the organism in Eukaryota, Metazoa, Chordata, Actinopteri, Salmoniformes, Salmonidae. The record is from Ensembl.